GUGUUGAUAUUGGUGAAUGUGACAUGUCUUACAAUCAAAAUGAAUGUUGAUCUGAUCUCAAACGUUGUUGACUAACAAAGUGUUUAUUAAGUGACGAUAUCAACUAGCAAAUUCAACGAGAGCAUUGCUUGAUAAGAUACCGGACAUGCCACAGAUUUAUGUGGACGCAUAAAGCAAUAUUAUGCAGAGCAAUAAAAAUUAAUUAGAAAAUAUUUCACAUCUUACAGUUGGGCAUAAAAAUACUUGACGGAGUUAAGCGCACUAAAGAAUGCAAUAGAGCAGACUGUGGUUCGGUUCGGUGGUUAAUUUCUAAUUAGAAGCAUCGAGGGAGGAGGAGGAGCAGUCUGUGUAGACACUUGGCAGAAUACAAAGGAGCAUAAGUAUUUCAGAAUAAAAUAAACUGCACAUUGAACAAAAGAACGCAAGAAGUGAGAACCUUAUGCAAAGAAUAAUGAGAGCUUAAAGGGAAAACCAAAACAGAUUUUGCACACCAUAAAGGCUCGACCGGAAAAAGAAAGAGAGCGAGAGAGAGAGAGGGAGAAGGAACUCCAGGUCGAAGAGGAGACAACUACAGGCAACCAA
Molecule: long non-coding RNA, 582 nt
Organism: Drosophila innubila
Lineage: Eukaryota; Metazoa; Arthropoda; Insecta; Diptera; Drosophilidae
Exons: 2
Source: RefSeq, a predicted model, not a curated record